UCUUAUAUUGCAUUGUUCAUACAUACAUUACGUGUGUUUGUGUAUUGAGUGUGUGUAUUGUUUGGGGCCUGAACCAACAUUUGGUAUCAGAGCCUAGGGCUCGUAAAGACAGAGAAAGACGGUUUGAGAGUCGGUUUCGAGAAAGGGUGUAGCCCUUGGCUGUGGGGAAAACGCAACAGGAAGAAACCGAGUUUCGGUAGUUAUUCUUCGCAGCCUAUUUUCGGGUUUUCAAAACAGGGUAUUUGCGGGUGUUUUGGGACAGCAGGGGGGCUGUUUCGGUGUCGUUUUACAGCAGAAGACGGAGGCGUUAUGGUUGAUCAAAAGAAGGUUCAAGGCUGUUCGGAUGUUAGUUGCGGGUUUGCGCAAGCUGUUAUACAAGGGUGACAACAGCAGAAUGUUUUGCGGAAGCCUUGAUCGGAUUGUUCGUGAUAAGAGGAGACCGGUGUAGUGCGUGAAAAGCGGGAAGAAUGGAUCCGUCAAAGCAGGCGGCUUUGGAUUCGUCUCGUUUGGCAAGGUGAGAAAACGGAAGAAGCGGGUGGCUUGUUUUCUUUGUCGGUGGAUAGUCUCUUGAACAAGGUGAUCGGAAAAAGGUUGUAGAAAAAAAGGGAGAACACGGUGGUGACAUUAUGGCGUUGGAGUUCACUCGGGUGGCUUUGGAUGUGACCGGGGAAGGUUGUUGAUCCGUGAUAAGUCGUGAUGUUAAUGAACGGUGUUCCAACGUUAUGCCAUGUUACAUGUUACGGGCGUGGUGU
This 752-nucleotide long non-coding RNA is filed under the name Helianthus annuus (common sunflower). RNAcentral describes it as "sRNA HanXRQr2_Chr10g0445451". Lineage: Eukaryota; Viridiplantae; Streptophyta; Magnoliopsida; Asterales; Asteraceae. The record is from RNAcentral.